Molecule: long non-coding RNA, 1313 nt
Organism: Felis catus (domestic cat)
Lineage: Eukaryota; Metazoa; Chordata; Mammalia; Carnivora; Felidae
Exons: 2
Source: RefSeq, a predicted model, not a curated record
CUGCAGUUCCCUGGAGUAAAAUCUUCCCCAUCUGACCCACGCAGACAGCUUGUCUUCCCUGGGAGACUAAGCACCUCAGGUCAGCCAAAGGGUUAUGAGUACACAGGAACUAUAAAGCUCCAGGCUAAAGGGGUGAAGAAAGUUGGCCAGCUGGAAGCAGCAGAGAAAAGGCCAGUUGUUCUUAGUAUACCAUAUCAGCACAGCUAAGCCCAUCUGAAUGUGGUUUCUGAAGUCACUGAUGAAGACAUCUAGUCCGGGAAUGGAACUCCCGGUGAAGAGAAUCAGAGGCGACAAGCUCAUCCAGGGUCCACUGAAAUCAUCCAUAUUUUCUCAUGGACAGGUGGACAGGACGGGAACCCUGGAACAAGAAGCCAAAGGGCCACCUCUUCUACCCUUUUGGAAGCAAUCCACACUUGGCCCCACUUGGGGACACAACAAGCUGAGCAUGGCAGCUUGGGGACUCAAGUCUUCUGGCCAAGAGUCAUUCCUUUAAUCGUCCCAAGUAACUGGCACUGAAACAAAAAGUUCACAUAUUCUAGCUACACCCUUUUACAGCCCUUGCUGUUUUGUAGGAAAUUCACAAAACUGUAAGUUACAGAGUUCAACCAGCUUAUUUUUGAACAUUGGAUGAGAAAGCAGAUAGACUUGUCCCGUACCUCUAUGAGUCCUGCAAUCCUUCAACACUCUAACGGGAGUCAGGUUUGUGUCCAAAUACAAUAUACCUGCUGCUGCUUUCUGUCUAGAGCAAAAACAUGAAGAAUCAUGCUUAUUCUGUUGAGCCAAAGGUCUCCUAACUCCUACCAACACCAGAAAGUAACCAUUAUUUUCACGACUUUCAUUAACUUCAGUUUAUGAAAGGAACUGUCAAACAUGCUGGCACCUGGUUUGUUAUCUAUGGAAGUCAUACAAGGGGUCGUAGUUCAUGUCUCUAACUCCUCUGGGCUCCAGAGAUCACUUAGAAAGAAAAUGGAGGGAAACCAAAGUUUACCGUAUCAGAGAAACCACUGCCAUCACACAAAGGUUUGGAACAAAAGGGAAUUUGGGGGCCUCCAACUCGGACAGUGUCUUUUUAGGCUGACAUGUCAGUUACUUGAAGAAUGUCUGGGGAUUCAUUCUGUUGGAAUUUACCACAAUGAGUAUUUCUACAGCCUUCUCAUAUGAGAUCUCUAAUUCUCUACAGUAAAGUUUGUGAGUUCCAGCGGACGCAACAACCCUUAACAAGGACCUUAUGUCAAACCCUCAUGUAGCUGCUAAUUAGUAGAUGCAUUCUCGGGUCUUCACCACUGCAAUUACAAGCCAUAUCCUGCUCCCUC